This 1958-nucleotide ribosomal RNA is filed under the name human metagenome. RNAcentral describes it as "bacterial LSU rRNA". It matches the Rfam family "Bacterial large subunit ribosomal RNA", at positions 3 to 2004 of the family's 2925-position model. The record is from RNAcentral.
UCAAGUGACUAAGUGCAUGUGGCGGAUGCCUUGGCGAUCACAGGCGAAGAAAGACGCGGCAGCCUGCGAAAAGCUGCGGGGAGCUGGCAAACGAGCUUUGAUCCGCAGAUAUCUGAAUGGGGGAACCCACACCGCAAGGUGUAUCCGUGACUGAAUACAUAGGUUACGGAGGCGAACGAGGAGAACUGAAACAUCUAAGUAUCCUCAGGAAAAGAAAUCAACCGAGAUUCCGGCAGUAGCGGCGAGCGAACCCGGAGGAGCCUAGCUUUUGAUAGUACGAACUUUAGCCGAAAGGUCCUGGAAAGGCCUGCUAUAGUGGGUGAUAGCCCCGUAGGCGAAAGAGUUCGUAUGGUACUAAGGAAGCGAGAAGUAGAGCGGGACACGUGGAAUCCUGUUCGAAGAUGGGGGGACCAUCCUCCAAGGCUAAAUACUCGUGAUCGACCGAUAGUGAACCAGUACCGUGAGGGAAAGGCGAAAAGAACCCCGGGAGGGGAGUGAAAUAGAACCUGAAACCGCAUGCAUACAAACAGUAGGAGCCUCGUCAGAGGUGACUGCGUACCUUUUGCAUAAUGGGUCAGCGACUUACAUUCUGUGGCGAGCUUAACCGAAUAGGGGAGGCGCAGCGAAAGCGAGUUCGAAAUGAGCGUCCAGUCGCAGGGUGUAGACCCGAAACCAGAUGAGCUAUCCAUGGCCAGGUUGAAGGUGUGGUAACACACACUGGAGGACCGAACCGACUAGUGUUGCAAAAUUAGCGGAUGAGCUGUGGAUAGGGGUGAAAGGCCAAACAAAUCUGGAGAUAGCUGGUUCUCCCCGAAAACUAUUGAGGUAGUGCCUCGUGUGUCGCUCCAGGGGGUAGAGCACUGUUUUGGCUAGGGGGACAUGGAGUCUUACCAAACCAAGGCAAACUCCGAAUACCUGGAAGCGUGAGCACGGGAGACAGAGCACCGGGUGCUAACGUCCGGACUCAAAAGGGAAACAACCCAGACCGCCGGCUAAGGUCCCCAAUAACAGCUAAGUGGAAAACGAAGUGGAAAGGCCGUGACAACCAGGAAGUUGGCUUAGAAGCAGCCAUCCUUCAAAGAAAGCGUAAUAGCUCACUGGUCGAGUCCUUCUGCGCGGAAGAUGUAACGGGGCUAAGCUGUUAACCGAAGCCGCGGAUGCACUGAUUAUUCAGUGCGUGGUAGGGGAGCGUUCUGUAAGUCUGCGAAGGCGGUUCGAGAGGACUGCUGGAGAUAUCAGAAGUGCGAAUGCUGACAUGAGUAACGUUAAAGCAGGUGAAAAGCCUGCUCGCCGUAAGCCCAAGGAUUCCUGCUCUACGUUCAUCGGAGCAGGGUGAGUCGGCUCCUAAGGUCAGGCCGAAAGGCGUAGCCGAUGGGAAUCAGGUUAAUAUUCCUGAACCUGCGUCAGAUGCGAUGGGGGGACGGAGCAUGAAAGAUCAUCCGGGUGUUGGAUGUCCCGGUUGACGAGCGUAGGAGGUCUGCAGGCAAAUCCGCAGACGCAUCUCCAAGGCGAAGUCACGUGCCGCCACGGCGGCGAAGUGAUCGGAAGUGCUUCCAAGAAAAGCCUCUAAGCACCAGUCUGACGCGGACCGUACCGCAAACCGACACUGGUGGGCGAGCUGAAUAUGCUCAGGCGCUUGAGAGAACUCGGGAGAAGGAACUCGGCAAAUUGACACCGUAACUUCGGAAGAAGGUGUGCCGUAGUACCGUGAGAGGAGAGACACCUUGAGCGGGAAUCGGUCUCAGAGAAUAGGUGGCUGCGACUGUUUAUUAAAAACACAGCACUCUGCAAAGUCGAAAGACGACGUAUAGGGUGUGAUGCCUGCCCGGUGCUGGAAGAUUAAUUGAUGGGGUGAGAGCCCUUGAUCGAAGUCCCAGUAAACGGCGGCCGUAACUAUAACGGUCCUAAGGUAGCGAAAUUCCUUGUCGGGUAAGUUCCGACCUGCACGAAUGGUGUAA